Molecule: non-coding RNA, 313 nt
Filed under: Sorghum bicolor (sorghum)
Lineage: Eukaryota; Viridiplantae; Streptophyta; Magnoliopsida; Poales; Poaceae
Description: Bacterial large subunit ribosomal RNA
Rfam family: Bacterial large subunit ribosomal RNA
Source: Rfam by way of RNAcentral
UUGGACGGAAAAGUGAUAUCUAACCAUGGGUCUUUGGAAGAAUGAGUCGAUGACUCGUAGGCAGUGGCUUGUCUAAGAGAAUGAAACCCAUCAAAGUCAUAGCAAAAGCCAGUCUUCGUAGGGAAAUUGUCACCGCUUAUGGACCGGAACCUAGUCCAUGACCAGGAUAAAGCUUGAAUGAAACUAAAUAGAGAUCUAAACCAAAUGAUGUUCAAGAAUCCAUGGAUGAAUUGUGAUUAGGGGGUGAAAUGCCACUCAACCCAUAGUUGACUACAUUAAGGGGUUAUAAAAGAAACAAAACUAAAAUAUUUAC